CAGGUCAGUAGUGGUAGUACAGGUCAGUAGUACAGGUCAGUAGUGCAGGUCAGUAGUGCAGGUCAGUAGUGGUAGUACAGGUCAGUAGUACAGGUCAGUAGUAGUUGUGCAGGUCAGUAGUACAGGUCAGUAGUAGUUGUGCAGGUCAGUAGUACAGGUCAGUAGUGCAGGUCAGUAGUGCAGGUCAGUAGUGGUAGUACAGGUCAGUAGUACAGGUCAGUAGUACAGGUCAGUAGUGGCAGUACAGGUCAGUAGUACAGGUCAGUAGUACAGGUCAGUAGUGGUAGUACAGGUCAGUAGUACAGGUCAGUAGUUGUAGUACAGGUCAGUAGUACAGGUCAGUAGUACAGGUCAGUAGUGG
Oncorhynchus tshawytscha (Chinook salmon) is the source of this 361-nucleotide long non-coding RNA. The record is from Ensembl. NCBI's taxonomy places the organism in Eukaryota, Metazoa, Chordata, Actinopteri, Salmoniformes, Salmonidae.